Molecule: ribosomal RNA, 632 nt
Filed under: uncultured archaeon
Lineage: Archaea
Description: bacterial SSU rRNA
Rfam family: Archaeal small subunit ribosomal RNA
Source: RNAcentral
CGGUUGAUCCUGCCGGAGGCCACUGCUAUGGGAGUCCGACUAAGCCAUGCGAGUCUUGGGGGGCUUUGCCCACCGGCGGACGGCUCAGUAACACGUGGACAACCUACCCUCGGGAGGGGGAUAACCCCGGGAAACUGGGGCUAAACCCCCAUAGGGCAUAGGUGCUGGAAGGCCCUAUGCCCGAAAUUCCGAAAGGAGCCCGAGGAUGGGUCUGCGGCCUAUCAGGUUGUAGUGGGGGUAACGGCCCCACUAGCCUACGACGGGUACGGGCCCUGGGAGGGGGAGCCCGGAGAUGGACUCUGAGACAAGAGUCCAGGCCCUACGGGGCGCAGCAGGCGCGAAACCUCCGCAAUGCGGGAAACCGCGACGGGGGGACUCCCAGUGCCUACGCUAUGCGUAGGCUGUUCCCGAGCCUAAAAAGCUCGGGGAGUAAGGGCUGGGCAAGACGGGUGCCAGCCGCCGCGGUAAUACCCGCAGCCCGAGUGGUGGCCACUUUUAUUGGGCCUAAAGCGUCCGUAGCCGGUCCGGUAAAUGCCUGGGUAAAUCGUCUGGCCUAACCAGACGAAUUCCGGGCAGACUGCCGGGCUAGGGACCGGAGGAGGGAGAGGGUACUCCAGGGGUAGGGGUGAAAU